AGGGGCAUAGGUUAAACAGAUUAAACCCUGGGCCUUCAAAGCCCGAAAUGAGUAUUCUGUCCCUG
This 65-nucleotide transfer RNA is filed under the name Melibe leonina. RNAcentral's name for it is "tRNA-Trp". The record is from RNAcentral. Lineage: Eukaryota; Metazoa; Mollusca; Gastropoda; Nudibranchia; Dendronotidae.